This 33028-nucleotide long non-coding RNA is filed under the name Triticum aestivum (bread wheat). RNAcentral describes it as "long non-coding RNA (TAES_LNC024780)". Lineage: Eukaryota; Viridiplantae; Streptophyta; Magnoliopsida; Poales; Poaceae. The record is from RNAcentral.
UUUUUUUUCCUACAACAGGAACUUGUUUGCAAUUACUAUAAAAUUUUUGGUAGUUAAUGAGAUGGUUCCGCCAACCAAUGUCUCGUUCCCAAUUAUUAAAUAACCCCCUCAAUUAAUUUAUUAAGCUCAGUGUUGAGAUAUCCGAAAUACUCCAAUUCCAGAGGCUCUUUUGUCCGUAACCGGGGACACGGCUAAUCGAUUAGGUUGUUACUCUGCAGAGGUUUGUGCACUUUACCCGCAAGAAUCGUUCCCUCCCUUUAAGUCUUCGCACUGCCUGGUGUUUGAAGACGGGACGAACGAAACAGGGUCUUCUGAAGAGUUCCUCUGGGCCACUGCCGGUGCCCAUCCAAUCCUACCGUUCUUCUACAUCUCGUAGCACCGUCCGUCCAGAGUCACGCCUGGGGUCGACCAAGCCAGAGCCCAUAAUGGCUUGCGGCUGCACAGGUAAGCUUCCGGUCAAUGGGGUAUCCAUCCGUCUCUUCGUGGCUGGGUGAAGCUUUCCGCAAGAUGUCAUGGCGCUUCUCCAUGCAUCCCGGCCAUCCGCUGGUUUCUCCAGGGUGCCCGUCAACCGUCCUCCACCCAGUAGUGAAUUUUGAAGUCCAUCUUGAGCUUGACGUCAUGGGGUUGUCAUCAUCUUGACUCUCACAUCUCCCUUAUGAAUCACUCAACCAACCCCGUCUACGAGCAUAGCAAAAUAAACUACAUCGUCCUGGGCAUUGGUAACAAGGGAGAAGGGUUCAUCCUACCUCAUGAUACUACUUAAGAACAUAACUUAACAAAAUUCUCCUACUGCAUGCAUGGUGGGGAGGUAUAACUCUAAUGCAAUAAAAUCAUAGGUAUUGUAAAAACAUGAUCAAAUGACUUGCCUGGCUGACGGUCUUCGAAAGCUAGCGUCUCGUAAUAGCAGGCUUCGCACUCCGGAAAUUCUACCGAGUCAAACAAUAGCACAAAUAAGUAUAGCACAAUAUAACAUAACAGCAAGUUGAAGUAAAACACCCACGUACUCAAACCAAAACCAAAGAAAAACUCGGAGAAAGCAAAUCAAGGUUUUCAUCAUAUCAAGCAACAACUAAGAAAUAGUUUUACACAACUAAAACUUUUCUUAACAGAACCUAAGCAUUGGUUUUGCUAACUAACAGAAGGAAAAACAUCAUACCAACUAGGAGCAAAAAGAAUCACAUCAAAAGCUAUUAUAGAACUCCUAUUAUGCCUAAAACAAUGCUAGCAAGGAAAAUAAAAUAAAAAAAUUUAUUCUACUGUAAAUAAAAGUUCAUCCUCUGUAGCUACAGAAGCUAAUCUAAAAUAAACUAUAACAUAACAAAAAUAAAAUUAUUUACUAACUAGAACAGUAAGAAAACAGUAGCUAGCUAAAUAAACAAGAAAAACUUAAUUUCGACAUAAAACUAAUUGUUUAUUAAAUCUAAAAUACCAAAACAACUUCCUACUGCUAGGCAUGGUCAAAUCUAAUCAGUAGAAAAAAGAAUCACUAAAAAAUAAUAAUCCUAACUCAAUUUAUGGCAGAAAAACUAAUCUGUCUAAAUCUAAUAUAAAACUAUUUCUAAUAAUUUAAACAUGGCUAAACCUAUUUUCUACAGAAACUACAACAAAUUUGCAAACUAGCAAAAAAAUAAUCAACUAAAAAUAAUAAGUAACCUAAAAGAUGUAGAUUUUUCAAGAUUGGAACUAUUCUGUUUUAAAACAGAAACGAAAAUAAAACUAAAAAUAAAACUAACGCGCUAACGGGCCGAAACAGUGAGCGUUCUAAAACUAAACAGCGCCUAAGCGUUUAAUAAUCCAACGCGUCCACGGGCUAACAGAAAUAAACCAGUCGGCCGGUCCAACUAAACCACAACAUAAAAUAAACCGAUCUAAACCGAAACUAAAACCGAUGUAAACAAAUAAACCUAACCCUUCACAACUUCUAAUCUACUCCGUAGAUUGCAGAUCGAACGGUGGGGGGGGGGGCUCCGGUGACUUACAGUGUGGCGACGNNNNNNNNNNNNNNNNNNNNNNNNNNNNNNNNNNNNNNNNNNNNNNNNNNNNNNNNNNNNNNNNNNNNNNNNNNNNNNNNNNNNNNNNNNNNNNNNNNNNNNNNNNNNNNNNNNNNNNNNNNNNNNNNNNNNNNNNNNNNNNNNNNNNNNNNNNNNNNNNNNNNNNNNNNNNNNNNNNNNNNNNNNNNNNNNNNNNNNNNNAGGCGGUGCAGAGCCCGGUGCUCUGCAGCUCCGGCGGGCGGCGAACGAGAUCAGGGGCGACGGCUUCGGGGCUCCUGGGCAGGGAGAUGAUGUCAAGAAAGUGCGGCACGAAGUGGAGGUUCGGGUGAAGUAGCUUGAAUGGGAAGGGGGUGCUCACCGGUGGCAGAAACGGCGGCGAACCAAGGCGGCGGCGGCGAGAUGCGUUCGGCGAGGGCGUGAGCUACGGGUGGGUUUGAGCUUAGGGUUUUAGGGGGAUCGAGAGAGGAGGGUGCUGGGUUUAUAUAGGGCAUCAACUUGGGCAAGGGGGCGUCUCGGGAUCGUGAUCCCGUGGAACUCGGACGCGGCGGCGACGGCGAACGCGCUCUGGCGCGGCAUAGCGUGGGCGAGGGGAAAAGGAGAGGGCGGGCCCCGCGGGUCAGUGAGGGGGAGAGAGAGGGGAGCGAACGGGCGAGCGAUCGGGAGAGGGUUCGGGCGUGCGGGCGCGCUGGGGCAGGCCGGCUCGGGCGUCGGUGGCCUGCGCCUGGCCCGCUGUGGGCUGCGCUCGGCGCUGGCUGGGCCGGUUGGCCUGGCUGGCGCCUGGGGCUUUUUUUUUGAAUUAGAGGGAAAGAAAAAAUAUAGAAANNNNNNNNNNNNNNNNNNNNNNNNNNNNNNNNNNNNNNNNNNNNNNNNNNNNNNNNNNNNNNNNNNNNNNNNNNNNNNNNNNNNNNNNNNNNNNNNNNNNNNNNNNNNNNNNNNNNNNNNNNNNNNNNNNNNNNNNNNNNNNNNNNNNNNNNNNNNNNNNNNNNNNNNNNNNNNNNNNNNNNNNNNNNNNNNNNNNNNNNNNNNNNNNNNNNNNNNNNNNNNNNNNNNNNNNNNNNNNNNNNNNNNNNNNNNNNNNNNNNNNNNNNNNNNNNNNNNNNNNNNNNNNNNNNNNNNNNNNNNNNNNNNNNNNNNNNNNNNNNNNNNNNNNNNNNNNNNNNNNNNNNNNNNNNNNNNNNNNNNNNNNNNNNNNNNNNNNNNNNNNNNNNNNNNNNNNNNNNNNNNNNNNNNNNNNNNNNNNNNNNNNNNNNNNNNNNNNNNNNNNNNNNNNNNNNNNNNNNNNNNNNNNNNNNNNNNNNNNNNNNNNNNNNNNNNNNNNNNNNNNNNNNNNNNNNNNNNNNNNNNNAGGACAUACAUAUAUCAAAAUUAUCAGGGGAAUUAAUCCUACAACGUGAACAUUUUUCAGAGGUAAAACUCAAACUUAAAAAAAAAAGAAAAAAAACAUUUUUUUGGAAAUCCCAAAUAAUAAUCAAAUUUGAAUUCAAACUUUUUGGCAAUAUUUUUCUUCUGACAUCUUUGGAGUGUCAUGUUAGCUCCUCUCAUACUUUUGCUCAAGUAUUUGUCAGGCAUUGUUUGAAAUAAAUUCAACUGCCAAUUUGAAUCCAAAUUCCAACAAACUCAAAAGCCUUUGGAAAAAUUCAAAUGUCACUCAAUUCAAGCAAUAUGCAUAGAUGCUUAGCUACAAUUGUAAAACAUUCCAAAUGGGAAAUUUGGGAUGUUACAUUGCAAGAUAAUAAAGAGCACGUAAAUAUAAACUAGGGGAUGUUUAGAUAAAGAAGCAAUAAAGUAAAUAUAGCGAGUGUGGAAAAGUGGUGGUAGGAGUUGUGAAAUUGUCCCUAAGCAAUUGACUACUUUACUAGACCGAUAGCAAGUUUUAUGUGGGAGAGGCAUAAGCUAACAUACUUUCUCUUCUUGGAUCAUAUGCACUUAUGAUUGGAACUCUAGCAAGCAUCCGCAACCACUAAAGAUCGUUGAGGUAAAACCCAACCAUAGCAUUAAAGCAUCAAGUCCCCUUUAUCCCAUACGCGACAACCCCCUUACUCGGGUUUAUGCUUCUAUCACUCAAGCAACUCACUAUAAGCGAAUCAUGAACAUAUUGCAACACCCUACAGAGGGAAUCCCUCACGCUUGCGCGACACGGAGGGCACAAUAGGACAUCAACAUAACCACAAGCAAAUUAAACCAAUCAUAGCAAUUCAUCAAUCACCGGUUGGACAACGAAAAUCUACUCAGACAUCAUAGGAUGGCAACACAUCAUUGCAUAAUAAUAUGAAGCAUAAAGCACCAUGUUAAAGUAGAGGGUACAGCGGGUUGUGGGAGAGUGGACCACUUAAUAUAGAUGGGGGAAGGUGUUGGAGAUGUUUGUGAAGAUGGCGGAGGUGUUGGUGAAGAUCGCGGUGAUGAUGAUGGCCCCCGGCGGCGUUCCGGCGCCACCGGAAGCAAGGGGGAGAGAGCCCCCUUCUUCUUCUUCUUCUUCCUUGACCUUCUCCCUAGAUGGGAGAAGGGUUUCCCCUUUGGUCCUUAGCUCCCAUGGCGUGGGAGGGACGAGAGCCUCUCCGAUAUUGGAUCUGUCUCUCUGUCUCUCUCUGUUUCCGUGCUCUCAGAUUCUGCCCUUUCACCGUUUCUUUUAUAUCCGGAGAUCCGUAACUCCGAUUGGGUUGAAACCUUCGCCCAGAUUUUUGUCUCCGAAAAUUAGCUUUCUUGCAGCAAAAGAAGAGCGUCAACCGCCUUACGGGGUGCCCACGAGGGUCAGGCGCGCCCCCUGCCUCGUGGCCCCCUCGGGCACCUUCUCGCGUUGAUUCUUCUUCCCAAAAAUCACAAAUAUUCCUAAAAUAUUCUCCAUUCGUUUUUAUCCCAUUUGGACUCCGUUUGAUAUGGGGUUUCUGCGAAACAUCAAACAUGCAACAAACAGGAACUUGCACUGGGCACUGGAUCAAUAUGUUAGUCCCAAAAAUAGUAUAAAAAGUUGCCAAAAGUAUAUGAAAGUUGAAUAAUAUUGGCAUGGAAAAAUAAAAAAUUAUAGAUACGAUGAAGACGUAUCAGGGAGCCACGAGGGGCCCACGAGGGUGGGGGCGUGCCCACCCCCCUAGGGCGUGCCCUCCUGCCUCUUGGCCGCCUCGGCUGCUUCCUGAUGUCCACACCAUGUCUCCUGCAUUGCCUUUGUUCCAAAAAGAUCGCUCCCGAAGGUUUCAUUCCGUUUGGACUCCGUUUGAUAUUCCUUUUCUUCGAAACACUGAAAUAGGCAAAAAAACAGCAAUUUGGGCUGGGCCUCCGGUUAAUAGGUUAGUCCCAAAAAUGAUAUAAAAGUGUAUAGUAAAGCCCAUAAACAUCCAAUAUGGGUAAUAUAAUAGCAUGGAAGAAUCAAAAGUUAUAGAUACGUUGGAGACGUAUCAACCCCCAGAAGAAGACACAAGCGCCCCGGCAAGGCCUGCCGGGGCUCACGGAGGCCAUAUCACCUCACCAACUACUCCAUCGCGACCCACGUUGUCGAUUAGUCCAGUAUCAAGACGGAGGAUGAUUAAGUGGUAUCCAUUCGCCACAUGGCGGCCACUUCCUACCAAGAGAACCCACAGAUGACACCCGUCCAAUGACAUGGCGACCAGGCGUGAAGCUGGCGAAUUAGCCCGGCAGGCCUUGCCGGGCAACCAACGACGUGACACUAAGCAAUGCAUUUAAUGCAUGUUGCCAGCUUGCAGAGUUAGGUAUGUUAGCAGUAUUUGCUAUCAUAUCAGUGUCUAAUGACUAAUUUGCCACUGUGGUAACCCCUUAAUCUAUAAAAGGUGGCCCAUGGCAAUGAUCCAAGAGGUUAGAAGUUUAGACCACUCACACCCCCAUACGCGCGUAGUCGCUGCUGCCCCAAAGCAACCCUUGCCGGGCAAGAGUACUAUACACACCACCACCUUUUCCCAUAAAUCCACCAAAGCAGGAGUAGGGUUUUACGCCUCGCGGCGGCCCAAACCUGGGUAAACUGCCUGUGUGAUCUCUGCCGUGUUGCGUUGCGUUGGUCUGCUCUUUGUGCAACGCGACUCCCCCCUGCCGAACCAGCAAGGCGCCAUCCUGGUCCCAUAGGUGGCCGUGGUUUCCAGCGAGAGGUGACCUGCGCUACUGCUAUGGUCGCCAGCCAAAAUACCUACCACCUUUCCCCCCUUCUUCCUCCCCUCUCUUCUCCCUCCCUUCAUUUCUCCCCCUCUCCUUGCACUUGCUUGUUNNNNNNNNNNNNNNNNNNNNNNNNNNNNNNNNNNNNNNNNNNNNNNNNNNNNNNNNNNNNNNNNNNNNNNNNNNNNNNNNNNNNNNNNNNNNNNNNNNNNNNNNNNNNNNNNNNNNNNNNNNNNNNNNNNNNNNNNNNNNNNNNNNNNNNNNNNNNNNNNNNNNNNNNNNNNNNNNNNNNNNNNNNNNNNNNNNNNCUCUUUCUUUCUUUGUCCAUCCACCACCCCCUCUUCUUUGCCCCUCCACCACACCCUCCACUAAUGCCCUCCCUCCCCCUCUUCUUUGCCCUCCACCACCACCUUCCAUUAAUGCCUUCCCUCUCCUCCCUCUCUCUCCCUAGCUAGCUAUUUAGAGCUAUAUCUAGAGCUACUAGCUAAUUAAGAAGGUGCUCGAUAUCCCUCUCGACACAUAGGUGAGCAAAAAAGUUGUUUGUGUGCGAUAGGACCGAAACUAUAUAUAUGUGCGAUAUUAGAAUAUACCGAAUUGUUUGUGGCAUAAUUUGAGUUGCCUAUAUUGUGUAUUUGUUGAAAUGUGGGUGACAUGAGUUGCCUAUGUUUUGCCGAAAUGUCGAUUCAAUUCCGUUUCGGUGAAUUUUGGGCAAACUCAAUAUGUCCUAUGUUUAGGGAAGGUCAUGCCGAAUUUUUGUAUGAAGUUGAUCCUUGCAUGCGUACGUGGUUAUAAUAUUUUGCUCCGCACGCAGGUGAUCACGAAGGUCAAUGGAAGGAUGGUGGAAAGAUACUGGAAAUCCGUGGUGGACGACAUGUAUGAAAAAAGACUGAAGGAUGUUGUAUGUCCGUGUCGAAAAUGCAAAGGAGGAGUCAGGCUCGACCCCUUUAAGGGUGGUAAAUUCAAGGUGCACCUGCACAUGCAUGGUUUCAUGGAUGGCCAUACUUGGUGGAUAAGUGAAGAAGAUGAUGAUGAGGACGUCAACGGGGCAGGAAAUAACGUCAUGGGGCCAGACGAAGAGAUGACCAAUUAUGUGCCCGAAGAACAAGAUGGACUCGGAAAUGGUGAUGGCAAGAGGCAGUACAAGGCGGAGAAGACACAGACACGCCGCCGUCUUCGUCACUACUAAGUUCAGCCAUGCGGGACCUGCAUGUUUGAGGCCUGCUUCGCAAGAAGAGGACUAGCGACAGAGCUGCUUCUAGAGAGGAGGCCAAACUGGCGCAACUGGAGGUAGACUUGAUGACUCCUUUGUAUGAUGGUUGCGAUCCCGAGGUGACUUGCUUGAGUUUCACACUAGAACUUCUAAAUACGAAGGCAAAAAGAAAAUGGAUGGAUGCAAGCCUGGAUGAGCUUCUGAAGUAUCUAAAGAAGGUUCUUCCCGCGGGAAGCCUGUGUCCUACCAGUGUCGAGGAGGCAAAGAAAAUCGUGUGCCCUCUUGAUCUGCCACACAUUAGAUAUCACACAUGCAUCAAUGAUUGCAUCAUAUAUUGGAACAAGCACGCGGAAAAAACCAUCUAUCAAAGUGCAAUGCUUCACAAUAUAAGAAGCUAGAAAGAAAGCUCCACAGAAAGUUGUAUGGUACUUUUUAAUCAAUCCGCGUCUGCAGUGGUAUUUCGUAGAUCCUAAGGAAGCAAAGCUUAUGUGCUGGCACGCGGAGAGGGUGAAGCCAGAUGACGGAGAUGAUCCGAAGAUGAGACACCUCGCAAAUGCCAGCCAGUGGAGAGCAUUAAACGCUGAACUUGAUUUUUCGCAAAUGAUGCAAGGCACAUCGUGCUUAGCGCUAGUAGUGAUGGCAUGAAUCCGUUUGGCAAUCAGAACACCAAUCAUAGCACACGGCCCGUGUUUGUAUGGAUGUACAACCUCCCCCCUGGAAGUGCAUGAAAGGAAAAAUACAUACACAUGGCUAUGCUUAUUCAAGGGCCGAGACAACCGGGAAAUGAUAUAAAUCUGUAUCUCGGAUUGCUGAAAGAGGAGCUACAUACCUUAUGGACAAUGUCGACCAAGACAUGGGACUCAAGCAAAGGAGAGUAUUUCUACAUGAGAGCCGCGCUAAUCACGAUGGUGCAGGACUAUCUCGGUUACAACUAUCUCUCUGGCCAGGUGUGCCACGGAUAUUGCGGAUGCACCAGGUGCAUGGAUGAUACAACUUCUCAGCAGCUAUCGAAAGAUGGCGGGUCUUCAAAAAUCGUGUACAUGGGGCAUUGAAGAUGGCUCGAGAAGGAUGGAUAAAGCGUGGAGAUCUAUUCAAUGGUAAGCCUGAGCAUCGAGGUCCUCCAUGUAAGUGUAGCAGUGCAGAAAUAUAUGAGUUAUUGAAGAGCUGGGAAGAGUGCCCCUUGCCGGGAAAGAUGAAGAAAAAGGCGCCGGAGCUGCUGCUGAAGGUAUGGAAGACGAGACUGUUUUCCGGUACUUGGAAUACUGGCCCAAACUCGACACGCCUAAUAGCCUUGAUCAAAUCCAUAUCACAACCUCGAGAGUUUGCUUGGAACAUGGAUGAACAUGAUGGAGAAGACCAAGGAUGGGCCGAAGGCAAGAAAAGACUUGGAAUUUUUGAAAAUCAGGAAAGAUCUCCCAUCUCCGAAUGCCCGGUAAAAAGUCAUUAGAGGAGACGGAGAUGGAAGAUAGGGGCAAAAAAGUAAACAAGAAGGAAGAACAAUAUUGCCCCACCUCUUACUUCACCUUAGAUCCGAAGGACGUCGAUCAAUUGUUCAAGUGCCUUGCUGGAAUCAAAGUUAGUUCCGGAUACUGUGGGAAGAUAAGCAGAUGUCUGGACACUAAGAAAAAAAGGUUCAGCGGGAUGAAGUCUCACGACUAUCAUGUGAUGAUGACGCAGUUACUCCCGGUUGCACUUAGAGGGAUUAUGGACACACACGCCCGUGAGAUGCUUACUGACCUAUGCCACUUUUUUAUGCUAUCUCUCGAAAGUCGAUCAGUGUGAAGCAACUCCAUAGGCUACAGGAAGAGACCGUUGUCAUACUGAAUGAGCUAGAGAUGUACUUCCCGCCUGCGUUCUUUGAUGUCAUGGUGCAUCUAUGUGUCCAAAGAACUUAACUACACUGGAUUGCAAAGCGCGACGAUGUUUCGUGUCAGAUGGGCUAAGAAUGUACAAAUAGAAAACCGACAUUUCACUACCAUGUGUAUACCCGACUCCGAUAGCGGUACCGUCAACGCCACCGCCAAAAAUGAGCCAUGGGUACACGCUAAACAUGUGAAACGAUGUUUCUUCAUAUCCGACCCCAGCAAUCCCAGCUGUGUUGUCGUGAGAAGAGGCAAAAGGAGCAUCGUCGGAAUGGAUAGAAUCGCCAACGAGGAAGACUACGAUCAGUAUGGUGAUCCGAUGAGGGAAGAUGAUGCUGAUGACGAUGAAACAUACGUCAAAAGAAGAAUGAAGAGAGCAUUACCUAUGAAAGAUUGUAAUCCCUGGAAAAGGAAAAGUCACGACCAUGGCCUCAAUUAUUCGACAACGAACAAAAGUGGGAAGAAGAUCAGCCUGAAGCGUCGUUGUCGCCCAAGCUGACAAACUAAUCCAAAUAAUUUGUGUGUAUCUAUUUUGUAUACCACUCUUAGAGGUCAAAUGAUGUAAUAUAUAUUAUACACUAAUUAAUAUCCAGAGGAUAAAUGGUGUUAUUGCUCCAACAGAACAAAUUAAUUAAACCCUAGCUAGCUAGAGCUAUAUAUACCCCUGCUAUACAAAAAUGGGUUAAUUAUCGUUUUGCCCUUAGUGGUGUCCAUCUGCUCAGUUUUGCCCUCAGAUGCAAAUUGUGCUCAGUUUUGCCCCUAGUCCGUGCGCACCGACUCGCUCUGUGAACUUUGGCGUCUCCGUCAGGUCAACGUUUUGACUCGGCCCUUACAGGUGGGACCAGGCGGCAGAGGCGGCCAAUUUUAUUCAGACCGUUGCACACGUGGCUUGCGGGACCCAGCAGAGAGCCGUUGAGCAUAGAGCCGUUGCGGGUGUGCUAUAUAAGCGGGCGACAGCGGCGGUGACCACGGCGACAGAGAGCACGGCGCUGACCACAGCGAGAGAGCGAGAGCACGACGGCGGUGGGAAGCUAGCUGUGGAGGGCGCGGCGGCGUUGAGAUCCGGUUCGGCUCCGAGCUCCAUGUCUUCCGCAAGCUCCCGCGCCACCUCGCGGAUGCAGAGCCGGGCGCGUGUGGAGAUGCCUGUCUUCGUCUGUCCGUGGUGCCGGGCGAGCGUUGAUCGGAGGGUUUCUCACACACCGAGGAACCACAAUCGUCCGUUCUACGUGUGCAGCGAGAAUGGGGUAAGAAUCGGGGCAAUUGCACCAUUUUCGUGGUCGGGAUCUUUGACCAAUGGGUUGAUCUGUUCCGUGUUCAUGCAGGUGACAUGCUUCUUUCUUUGGGUCGAUGCUCUGGCCAAGACUCUGAUAAAUGAACUGCAAGAAGAGCAUGAAGAAUGGUUGCGCAUGCUGCCCCAAACCGCAGUGGCCGCAGCACGAGCUCCGGAAGAAGAGAUGGAGGGCGAAGCACGCACUGACAGAGAGCUAGCUGUUGAGCUUAGGAUGUUGAAGAAGAAGGUUAGGAAGCUUGUAGAUCAAGCACUACCAAUACCCAUUCGCAAAUACUUUUGGGCAUUUGUAGGUAUGGUAAUCACACUGGUUGUAAUGUUGAAAAUGUAUGGAAAGGCAUGAAUUAUGGAGGAAUUUGUAAUCUUGAAAUUGUAUGAGAAAUUCACGUAGUUUAAAUGUUGGUCAAAGUUGUUUAAAUGUUGAAAAAAAGAGAAGAAGUGACCAACAUUUAAAUAUGUUGAAAAAAAGGAGAAGAAAUGAGGAAUUCAGAAACUUUUGAUCAAUGAAAUGCAGCUAAUGAAUUAUGCCAGAGCCAAACAAUUAAGGUUAAUUUUUUUUGGAUCUGUUAAAUAUUUAAUAGCAAUUGAAGUAAUCCAAUUCAAAUACACCGUGAUUUAAAUCAAAGACCAAAAUGUCAUGGAAAAUGUGCCUCAGCUCUGGUAGAGGUUUACACCUAGUUCCAAAAUAAAUGAACAUUUUUUAAGGGCAUUACAUUGAGUAAAAACUAAUUUGUCUAAAAAAUGAAGGGUGGAAAAUGCACAAAAAAUUGGUGCGGCUGGGGACUCGAACCCAAGACCGUGUGGGUUUGUGGUGUUUAGGGCUGCGUUGGUAACCGCUAGGACAGAUGGCAAGAGUUUGACAUGGGUAGGGAAGGAAUGUAUACAUAGUGAGACUGUGAAAUUUGUCAAAAAAAAUAGUGAGACCGUGAAUGUUUGCACACGCGUGAGAGUGGUUUUCCUUUGUUUUGCACUGAAAUUUUGGAGGGUUGGAAGGUUGAAAACGUAUGUUUGCACUGCCACGUGGUUUUGGUUAGAGUGGCACUUGGUUUAGUGUUAGAGUGGCACUUGGUUUAGGAUUUAAACGGAAUAAAUUUGCAUGUUAGUUCAUGACUUAUUUUUUUGAAUAAAACGGAGGGCUUCUCACCCCCUCCGUUUUUCAUUAAUGAAAACCACAAGUUCUCGAGCUUCAUGACUUGGUUUAGGGAAGAAAUUAUAUGCUUGGGCACGAACAUUUUUUAACACACAUAAUAAACCCUAAUAAAUAACUUAGAUAAGAUGCAACACAAGUACCAUUACAAUAAUAAGUUCACGGACACAUGACGAAACAUGACACGACACGACACGACAUAGAAAAGCAACAAAUAAAAAACAAAAUAGUCUUCAUCUUGAUCUCCUCCUUCCACUUUGGCUGCGCGCGCCCCUUCAACACCGUCCUCAUCUUCACACCUCCUCCUCGUCGUCGUAGGGAAGGGAGUGCAUCCCGUCUCGAGUGGGGAAGAUGUUCUCGUAGUUGGUGUAGAUGUUGUAGACGGUGAAGAAGAUGGCCUCGCAGCCGCACCAAAAGACUUAGCCGAGGAGCUCGCGCGCGUCAAACGGGUUGGUGAAGGUGACCGUGAGCAGUAAGAGGAUGCCGCCGCGGUCACGAACCUCGUUGAGGGUGAACAUCCUCGGCGAGCCCCGUGGGAGGUGGGCAUAGCCGGCUCUGAGGAAGGCGCGGGUGAGUUCGAUGGAACCCCUCCACCUUGAAAUAGCCCACACACGAAGCUCCCUCUCCACGAGCACGCCCGGUGGGUAGCGCAGCUCCGGCACGACAGGCGGAUGGCUGAAGGUCGGCCCGUUGAACUGCAUGGUCUCUCUUGGGGAGGGCUCGGUCGAUUGGGUGUUUGAAGUUGGAGAGAAGGGAUCAGAUCUGGCAUAUGGGUGGGAGAGGAAGAUAGGCACCCCAUUUAUAGGCCUGUGGGUGGGAGAGGAAGAGAGAAAGGAUGAGAACGGUGCGUGUGUGAAUCCGAACGCGUGUGUGUAUCCGUUACGCAUUGCACUCUUAAAUUUUUGCACAAAAACGAUGCAUGCAUGGGGCGCGUGCAUGCAUUUGAAUCACUGCAUAGCUCUUUGACCGGACGGUGCAUCUGACUCGUUGAACCACCUAGCUGGCCUCGCUAGCCUAGCGCGCCUAGCGCACCUCGCUCGCAUGCAUGCACGUCGCAGCCUCCCGCGCAUGCAAACCCACGUCGCAGCCUAUGCACGUCGCCGCCUCCCAUGCAUGCAUGCAAGGCCUGGAAAGGCUGAGACGAGCUAUUUACUGCGAUCUCAGGCCCAGACAACGGGACGGCCCAACGGUCCAUCCAGCGCGCCUGAUAUUGGUUUAAAAAAAAUCUCCCAGCCAAUCAGAUUGCAUCUCGCGGAUCGCCCCCUCCUCCCCGCAGAUUCCUUUUAGAAGGGUUAGAUUGAUGGCCCUUGUUCAGCGCUAGGGUUAGAUGAACGGUUCUGGUUCAGCGCUAGGGUUAGCGGGGUUUGGGAGGGGUUUGGAGCAGUCAAAGCUAUGUUUGACCAGAUUUGAAAUGAGCAUAAUAAAUUAAAUAAAAAUCAGAAAAUAAAAAAACCUGCGCACAUAGUCUUCUUAUGUCAUAUACUAACGAUUUAAGUUGAUAAACAAGGUUUACAUACAUUUAAACGAUAAGUUCAUGUGUAUUGUAUGAUAUCUAGAGUAUCUCAAACUCUCUUGUAUGAAGUGAAGAGAAGUGUUUUGGGGAAAUAAACAUGAAAAUUUCAAAAAACUCACCACAGCUUCAUUUUAGAGUGACUAAGAAGGAUCCAGGCUUAGUUUUUCAUUUUGAUGUUUUACACUUGUUUAAAUCUUGGUCAAAGUUAAGUUUGACCGGAAUUCAAAUGAGCAAAACAAAUUUAAAAAAAAUCAAAAAAUGGAAAAACCAGCGCACAUAGUCCGUAUAUAUAGAAUAUAUGUUUAGGAAAGUUGUUUGGCUGAUUUAGACAAGGUCGAAAAAACCUUGCUUAGAAAUGAGGCUGUUUACCCUACCUUUGGACCCCUCAUUUUAGCACAUUUUUCAUGAAAAUUUCAAAAACCUCACCACAGCUUCAUUUUGGAUUGACUAAGAAGGAUCCAGGCUUAGUUCUUCAUUUUGAUGUUUUAGACUUGUUUAAAUCUUGGUCAAAGUUAGGUUUGACCAGAAUUCAAAUGAGCAAAACAAAAUUCAAAAAAAUCAAAAAAAGGAAAAACCAUGUGCUCAUUCAAACAUCAUGCAACGGAUUUAAACAUCGUGUCAAACAUAGUUCUAACAUAGGUCCAACAUCAUCCAACAGAAAUACAACAUUAUUCAUAAUGUUUCAUAAUUAUUCACAUAUAGCGUUCGGGCUUCUGUCUGUUCCUUGACCUUCUUGCCAUCACUUUGCUCCUCGUGCACCUUGUGCUCAUUGCUUCUUCUCUUCUCCUCUUGGUUGUCGGUACCUUGUGCGUCUUCUUCAAACCUAUCAUAGAGCUGUGCAAAACAUAAAGGGUAAUGAGAUCAUGUCAAGUGACCCAUAAAUGUACAGUAGUAUUUGACCCUUGCAAGAUUUACAUACCUAGCAGAACUCACAACAACAGAAGGUUGGUCACCAUUUGGAGCCUCACUUGGAUCAUCAUUUGGAGCCUCACUUGGAUCACCAUGAUCAUCAUUUGGAGCCUCACUUGGAUCACCAUGAUCAUCAUUUGGAGCCUCACUUGGAUCACCAUGAUCACUAUUUGGAGCCUCACUUGGAUCACUGUUUGGAGCCUCACUUGAAUCAUUAUUUGGAGGAUAUUUUGGAUCAUCGUCAAAAUCAUGCGGCUGUUGACCAUCAUCAUUUAGAACCUCAUCAAAAUCCUCAUCUGAUGCAACCGGCUGCUGUCCAUCAUUUUCAUCAUCUGUUGAGGCAACCGGCUGCUGACCAACAUUUUCAUCGAAGCCUUCAUCGAAACUCUCUUCGAACGCUGGAUCUACUUUGUUAUCACAAUACUUACCGAAAUGACCAGACCCACCACAUCUUGUGCACUUAUGCUUCCUCGCUCCAAGUCCAGCUCCUUCGCUGCGAGGUCUGAUUCGACUCUUCCUUGGUCUACCUGCUGCUCUCUUCAGAACUGGAGCGCAAAGCUUGAAUCCAGGGUCCACCAUGUCCCAUUGUUGUUUUCCCUCCAUAGCAGGCAAGGCAUAAGCAUAUGUGGCUUUGAACCUUGCAACAGAGUAGUAAUCAUGCACAUACUGUUGAAUGUUCCCUGCUGGACCUGGGAGAGAAGUGAUGAAAAACAAGGCAUGAAUGCAUGGCAACCUAGUUAUCUGCCAAUGCCUACAGCUACAAGUUCUAGCUUCAAAAUCCACUGGAUAUCUCCAUUCCCUCUUCUCUUUAUCCAAAUAUGAUAUCUCUGCUGUGGUACCCGAGCAAAGAGUCAUGUUCAUUUCCAAGCCUGUUGUUUUCUGCUUCAGUUCAUUCAUCACGGCAGGGAUGAUAAUGUGGCCCAUGAAUUUUGCCUCGGCUAUUCCUGCACGAUAAUGAAAUUUCUGCAUGUAUUCUAUCCUUAUCCUGUCCAGCAAAUCCACCACAUAAUGACCCUUUAGUUUCCAGAUCGUUGAGUUGAAAGACUCUGCUAGAUUAUUGUGCACAUAGUCAACUUUGCUCAGUUUACUGAAUUGGCUUCUGGCCCAUAACUUGGAGUGGUGUGUUUCCAAGUAUUCUUUCACUUUGGGAUUCAUGUAUAACUGCCUCAAGUGGUAGUUGUGCUUCUUCACACUGCAAGUCAAAGAUGCUGGCCAUAAAUUGUCGGUAUACACCUUUGCUUUGAAUUUCUUCAUGAAAUUUGCAGCAAGGUGACGCAUGCAUUCCCUAUGGUCUACUCCAGGGAACACAUUGUCCACGGCCACUUCUAAACCUUUGCAGGCAUCUGUAUGAAUGACCAACCCAUUGGGAUGUGCAAUAGCCCGGCGCAGAUUAUGCAAAAACCAAGUCCAGCUCUCCUCAGACUCUGUCUCCAGCACACCGUAGGCAACUGGAAUACAAAACUGUGUGCAUCAACUGCACAAGCUGCUACUAACUGUCGUUUAAACCUCCUUGUGAGAAAAGUGGCAUCAAUAGCCAAAUAAGGCCUGCAACCUGCCAAAAAACCCCGGCGACAAGCCUCAAAGCAGACAAAAACCCUCCUAAAGCAUUCCUUGGUCUUUGUCACUCCCCUGAAUGUGUACUCCACGGUGUGGUGAUCAAUAUCUACAAUACUACCUGGGCUUGUCCUCUCCACUUCACCUUUGAAUGAAUACAACAAUUGAAAACUUUCCUGCCAGUUACCAUAAAUAGAAUCCAUAGCAUGUUGUUUACCAUUGAACAACCUCAUGUAUGGUAAAUCUAUCCUUAAUUUAUCUUUGAUGUUCUUCUGCAAUUCCUUUGGACCCACUUGCUAGUUUUCUUUCACACACUUCUUUACUUCUUCUGCCACCCAUCUUGACUUGGCUCUACUGAUUGUAUCCUUCCUAAGGGUUGAUUCCUGGCAUGUGUGCUUAAAAGGGUUCACUUUGACCUGAACAUUAGUGCUAUUUCGCAUUUUAGAUGCGAGCAGCCUCCAUGGACAACCCUCAGUCGGACAGUGCACUCUGUAACGUACUUGAUCGCUCUUGUCAACUUUGAAAGUACGUUCUACCUUGAUGCAGUAUGUCACAAGUGCAUUUCUACACUCAUUCAUGGAUGCAAAAACUGUACCUUCUUCCAUAUGAGGGUUCAAAGGGUCCCAUUCAACAGCUGCAAGGUCUUCGUCCUCACCCACCGCGUCAUCAUCCACACGGACUGCAUUGUGAGCCUCAUCUUGGUUAUCAGCCCGAGGUGCCCGUCGUAAAUUCCGAAUAACAUCAUAAUAUAGCUUCUCUUCAUCAACCCCAGAAUUGUAGUCAUUAGGCUCCACUUCAAGGGGGACCCUACUGUUGUUGCCCACACUUAUCGAGCCACCACGUCGCCGUGCACCAACUGAACUGUUCUGGCUAGAGAUGCCAUUACGAUGACUUGCUUCUCCCCGAGAUGUUGCACCCGUCAUCCUUGGUCCAAAUGCCUGCUCAAGCACAUCAACUUGCAGCCUCACAUGAAAAUUAUCUUUCUCUUUAUGCCUAACAAACAUGGUAGCUAGCUCUUCAUCAUUACUAACUGUCACCCAUUUCUUUUCCCCAUCAUAGUAUUUGUAUACCACUUCAUCAAGCAAACCCCAAGGAUAUUGGCUACAAAUUACCUCCCCAAAUUGUCUGAAACUCCAAUUACUAGCCAUUGGCAACCGAUAAUCAAAACCUCCUUGGUAUUUCUUCUGAUUCUUUGCAUCGAACGUGUACCGGUCCCUUCUAAUGUGCAUCAAGAAAGCAAACCGCAACUCCAUCCUAACCGGCAAAAAACAGAGACGCAAUCAGCACACUAAUUGGGCAAACCUACUCGAAUCGAGUGUUCAAAUGCACAACUAAGCUCAAUCUAAACAGGAGGCGAGACUUACCCCUCGGGAACCCAGUCGUGGACGCGGCGGAUCUCCGGCCCGAUGCCUGCCUCGCCAAAUACUCCGGGGUCGCCGCUGCUCUCCAUUUUGCCCUAGGGUUCUUCCUCCUAGUUCAAAUAGCUCCAGCAGCCCCCCACCUUUGAGCGCUCCAGCCGGGCGCAUGGAAGGAGGCCGCGCCGCGGGUCGAGCAGGUGGCGGGCGCCCCACCCAUGGCGUUGCAGGAAGGUGGCGGGCGUCACAGGUAGCCGUGGAGUGUAGGCGUAGAAAGGUAGCGGUGGAGUAGGCGUGUAGCUGGUGGCGGGGCAGGUGCUGGCCGCGGCGCAAGUGCCGGCGGCGGGGCAGGUCAGCCGGCCGGCGGGGAAGCGGAUGGGCAGAGUGAGCUACGAAUGAUUUGGGGAUUUAGUUGCACGGGCCUACAUGUCAGCUCCGAACCCACGUCCACGCGGUCCCACAUGUAAGCUCCGGACCCACAACCACUAACGCUGGUGGACGGAAUGGACUCAAAUAUGGCCGUUUGGCCUCGUCAUAGUAGCUGUGCAUGGACUAGGGGCAAAACUGAGCACAAUUUGCAUCUGCGGGCAAAACUGAGCACAAAGACACCACUGAGGGCAAAAGGAUAAUUAACCCUACAAAAAUUGUACAAAUGCAAAUGAAAGAUAAGAAAAAGAAAACUGUAAAUGAAAGAAAAAGAAAUAGAAAAAUAAAAAGAGUUAGCAGUAGCACUUUUCGGGUGAACAAGCGUGAUGACCCACAAGUGUAGGGGAUCUAUCGUAGUCCUUUUGAUAAGUAAUAGUGUCGAACCCAACGAGGAGCAGAAGGAAAUGACAAGCGGUUUUUAGUAAGGUAUUCUCUGCAAGCACUGAAAUUGCAGGUAACAGAUAGUUUUGUGAUAAGAUAAUUUGUAACGGGUAACAAGCAAUGAAACUAAAUAAGGUGCAGAAAGGUGGCCCAAUCCUUUUUGUAGCAAAGGACAAGCUUGGACAAGUUCUUAUAAUGAGAAAAGCGCUCCCGAGGACACAUGGGAAUUAUCGUCAAGCUAGUUUUCAUCACGCUCAUAUGAUUCACGUUCGUUACUUUGAUAAUUUGAUAUGUGGGUGGACGGUGCUUGGGUACUGUCCUUUCUUGGACAAGCAUCCCACUUAUGAUUAACCCCUAUUGCAAGCAUCCGCAACCUACAAAAGAAGUAUUAAGGUAAACCUAACCAUAGCAUGAAACAAGUGGAUCCAAAUCAGCCCCUAAACCCAUCAUCUACUUAUUACUUCCCAAUGCCUUCCUUUGGGCCCAAAUAAUAGUGAAGUAUCAUGUAGUCGACGUUCACAUAACACCACUAGAGGAGAGACAACAUACAUCUCAUCAAAAUAUCGAACGAAUACCAAAUUCACAUGACUACUAAUAUCAAGACUUCUCCCAUGUCCUCAGGAACAAAAGUAACUACUCACAAAGCAUAUUCAUGUUCAUAAUCAAAGGGGUAUUAAUAUGCAUUAAGGAUCUGAACAUAUGUUCUUCCACCAAAUAAACCAACUAGCAUGAACUACAAGGAGUAAUCAACACUACUAGCAACCCACAGGUACCAAUCUGAGGUUCUGGUACAAAGAUUGGAUAGAAGAGAUGAACUAUGGUUUGAGAGGAGAUGGUGCUGGUGAAGAUGUUGAUGGAGAUUGACCCCCUGCUGAAGAGAGGAUCGUUGGUGAUGAUUUCCCCCUCCGGGAGGGAAGUUUCCCCGGCAGAACAGCUUCGCCGGAGCCCUAGAUUGGUUCCACCAAGGUUCCGCCUCGUGGCGGCGGAGUUUCGUCCCGUAAGCUUGCUUAUGAUUUUUUCUAGGGUAAAAGACUUCAUAUAGCAGAAGAUGGGCACCGGAGGGCUGCCAGGUGGCCCACGAGGCAGGAGGGCGUGCCCAGGGGGGUAGGGCGCGCCCCCACCCUCGUGGAUGGUGGGUGGCCCCCCUUAGGUAAUUCUUCCGCUGAAUAUUUUUUAUUAAUUCCCAAAAUGACUUUCGUGGAGUUUUAGGACUUUUGGAGCUGUGCAGAAUAGGUCUCCAAUAUUUGCUCCUUUUCCAGCCCAGAAUCCCAGCUGCCGGCAUUCUCCCUCUUCAUGUAAACCUUGUAAAAUAAUAGAGAAUAGCCAUAAGUAUUGUGGCAUAACAUGUAAUAACAGCCCAUAAUGCAAUAAAUAUCGAUAUAAAAGCAUGAUGCAAAAUGGACGUAUCAACUCCCCCAAGCUUAGACCUCACUUGUCCUCAAGCGGAAGCCGAAAUCGAAAAAUAUAUCCACAUGUUUAGAGAUAGAGGUGUCGAUAAAAUAAAAUACGGACAUGGGGGCAUCAUGAUCAUUCUUAUAAUAGCAACAUAUAUAUAUAUAUAUAUUGUCAUAUGAUUUCUUAUGCUCAAGUAACAACCUAUUCACAAUGUCAAGUAUGACUCAGAAACUUCAUUGAUAACUAACAAACUAUUAUCUCGGUCAUUGAAGCAAUUGCAAUUUAUCAUAACAUCGGAAAGAGUCAAUAUAAGAGCUUUUCAGCAAGUCCACAUACUCAACUCUCAUUUAGUCCUUCACAAUUGCUAACACUCACGCAAUACUCAUUGUUAUGGAGUUUUAAUCGGACACAGAGAAAGAUAGGGGCUUAUAGUGUUGCCUCCCAACCUUUUACCUCAAGGGUAAUGUCAACAAUAAUAGUUCAUGCUAACUUACAUCCAAUUGGAUAUAUAUAUCAAGAUCUUUCCAACACGAGGUGCUUGCCAAGGAUAAAAUGAAAAAGGGAAAGGUGAAGAUCACCUUGACUCUUGCAUAAUGUAAAAGAUAGGCCCUUCGCAGAGGGAAGCAGAGGUUGUCAUGUGCUUUUAUGGUUGGAUGCACGAAAUCUUAAUGCAAAAGAACGUCACUUUAUAUUGCCACUUGUGGUAUGAACCUUUAUUAUGCAGUCCGUCGCUUUUAUUACUUCCAUAUCACAAGAUCGUAUAAAGCUUAUUUUCUUCGCACUAAUAAGCCAUACAUAUUUAGAGAGCAAUUUUUAUUGCAUACAACAUGACAACUUACUUGAAGGAUCUUACUAAAUCCAUAGGUAGAUAUGGUGGACUGUCAUGGCAAAACUAGGUUUAAGGAUAUUUGGAAGCACAAGUAGUAUCUCUACUUGGUGCAAGGAAUUUGGCUAGCAUGAGUGGGGAAGGCAAGCUCAACAUGUUGGAUGAUCCAUCACAAUAUACUUUAACUAAGAUGUGAGAAAACAUAACCCAUUACGUCGUCUUCCUUGUCCAACAUCAACUCUUUAGCAUGUCAUACUUUAAUGCGUGCUCACAAUCUUAAAAGAUGUCCAAGAUAGUAUAUUUAUAUGUGCAAACCUCUCUUUCUUUAUUACUUCCUAUUAAUUGCAACGAUGACCAAAACUAUGUUUGCCAACCCUCAACAACUUUUAAUCAUCAUACUCUUUAUAUGUGAAGUCAUUACUAGCCACAAGAUCAAUAUGGUCUCUUUUAUUUCUUUUUGUUCUUUUAUUCACUCAAGAUCAUAGCAAGAUAGCAAAUCCCUUGACUCAACACUAAUCUUUAUUAUAUAUAGCUCACGGACUCGAUUACAUAGAGGGAUCAUAAAGCAAAACUCAAAACUAAUUCAUACCAAAACUUUAUUCUAGUAGAUCAAGAUAUUACCAAAAGGAUCGAACUAAGUAAAACGGUAAAGAUAGGAGUGUAAUGGUGAUAUGAUACCGGGGCAACUCCCCCAAGCUUGGCAGUUGCCAAGGGGAGUGCCCAUACCUAUGUGAUUAUGUCCUUGGAGGUGGUGAUGAUGGAGUUGUUGGUGAUGUAGGCUUCUUCCUCAAUUUGCGCUUGAGGGUGGAAUUUUGCUCCCUUAGAUCAUCAAUCUCCUGCUCAAGGCUUAAUAUCAUUUUGCAUAGUUCCUGUUUGUUUUCCUGCAAGAGACGAAAAGGAAUAAACUCAAUCUUUGGUUUCUUUGCUUUGUCAGGGAGGCUUGACUUUUUAAACUCCACAUGCAUGUCCCCAGGUUGAGGUAAUGGGGCUUCAUCUUCAUCUGAGCUUGUCUCCUCCUUUCCUUUAGGCUCAUAGUCUUCUUCUUCUUCGGUUGUCCAGCCAUGAUGCUCCAAGUCCCCGUAGAUCUUAGGGUCUGCUAGGUAAUCAGCCACAUAGCUUUCUCCCUCCGAAUCCUGGGAUGACAUAUUGCUCUUAUCUGCUGCAGAAACAGCUCAUGACAAAAAACAGAGGAUUUUUCCGUGAUACGGUGGUCAAAACCUUCGGGAGAUUAUAUAAUGAAUUUUUACUGAGAAAAAGAAGUAUCGUGCAAGAAAACAGAGUCCGGGGAGCACACGAGGUGCCCACGAGGCAGGGGGCGCGCCCAGGGGGUAGGGCGCGCCCUCCACCCUCGUGGAUGCCUCGUGUCCUUCCCGGACUACUUCUUAUUUUCCUAUUUUCUUAAAUAUUCCAAAACAGAGAAAAAUUGCUAUUAGAACUGUUUUGGAGUCGGUUUGCUUACCAUACCACAUACCUAUUCCUUUUCGGAGUCUGAAACGUUCUGGAAAGUGUCCCUUAUGUAUUCCUCCGGGGUUACGGUUUCAAUAAUAUUAGUUUCAACAUUUAUAGGAUUACCUGAGAUAUAAUGUUUGAUUCUUUGACCGUUCACCACCUUCGGAUUUGUGCCUUCGAAGUUGUUAAUUUUUAUGCACCGGAACGAUAGAGCUCCUCGAUAACGUAAGGACCUUCCCAUUUAGAGAGAAGUUUUCCAGCAAAAAAUCUUAAACAAGAGUUGAAUAGCAACACAUAAUCACCUACGUUAAACUCACGCUUUUGUAUCCUUUUGUCAUGCCAUCUUUUAACUUUUUCUUUAAACAGUUUGGCAUUCUCGUAGGCCUGGGUUCUCCAUUCAUCGAGUGAGCUAAUGUCAAACAACCUCUUCUCACCAGCAAGUUUGAAAUCAUAAUUGAGCUCUUUAAUAGCCCAAUAUGCCUUAUGUUCAAGUUCGAGAGGUAAGUGACAUGCUUUUCCAUAAGCCAUUCUAUAUGGAGACAUACCCAUAGGAUUUUUAUAUGCAGUUCUAUAAGCCCAUAAUGCAUCAUCAAGUUUCUUGGACCAAUUCUUUCUAGAUCUAUUAACAGUCUUUUGCAAAAUUAAUUUAAUCUCUCUAUUAAUCAAUUCUACUUCACCACUAGACUGUGGGUGAUAUGGAGAUGCAAUUCUAUGAUUAACAUCAUACUUAGCAAGUAUUUUACGGAAAGCACCAUGAUGAAAUGUGAACCACCGUCAGUCAUUAAGUAUCUAGGGACUCCAAACCUCGGAAAAAUAACUUCUUUAAGCAUCUUAAUAGAGGUGUUAUGAUCAACACUACUAGUUGGAAUAGCUUCUACCCACUUAGUAACGUAAUCAACAGCAACUAAAAUUUGUGUAUAACCAUUAGAGGCAAGAAAUGGUCCCAUAUAAUCAAAGCCCCAAACAUCAAAUGGUUCAAUAACAAGAGAAUAAUUCAUAGGAAUUUCUUGACGUCUACUAAUAUUAGUAAUUCUUUGACAUUCAUCACAAGUCAAGACAAACUUACGGGCAUCUUUGAAGAGAGUAGGCCAAUAAAAACCAGAUUGCAAUACCUUAUGUGCAGUUCUAUCUCCAGCGUGGUGUCCUCCAUAUGCCUCGGAGUGACACUUGCGUAGGAUCUGUUCUUGUUCAUGCUCAGGUACACAACGUCUAAUAACACCAUCUACUCCUUCUUUAUAAAGGUGUGGGUCAUCCUAGAAGUAAUGUCUUAAGUCAUAGAAGAACUUUUUCUUUUGCUGGUAUGUGAAACUAGGUGGUAUGAAUUUAGCAACAAUGUAAUUAGCGUAAUCAGCAUACCAUGGAGCAGUACGAGAAGCAUUUAUGAUGGCCAAUUGUUUAUCAGGAAAGCUAUCAUUAAUAGGUAGUGGGUCAUCAAGAACAUUCUCUAACCUAGACAAGUUGUCUGCAACGGGGUUCUCAGCUCCCUUUUAUCAAUAAUAUAAAAAUCAAAUUCUUGUAGUAGGAGAACCCAUCUAAUAAGUCUAGGUUUAGCAUCUUUCUUUUCCGUAAGAUAUUUAAUAGAAGCACAAUCAGUGUGAACAGUUACUUUAGAAUCAACAAUAUAAGGUCUGAACUUAUCACAAGCAAAUACAACUGCUAAGAAUUCUUUUUCAGUAGUAGCAUAAUUUCUCUGGGUAGUGUCUAGAGUUUUACUAGCAUAUUGAAUAACAUUUAGUUUCUGAUCAACUCUUUGUCCUAGAACAGCACCUACCACAUAAUCGCUAGCAUCACACACAAUUUCAAAGGGUAAAUUCCAAUCAGGUGGCUGAACAAUAGGUGCAGAAAUCAAAGCUUUCUUAAGUAUUUCAAACGCUUCUACACAAUCAUCAUCAAAGGCAAAAGGAAUAUCUUUUUGCAAUAGAUUAGUUAGAGGCCUAGAAAUUUUAGAGAAGUCCUUAAUGAACCUCCUAUAAAAACCGGCAUGACCAGGGAAACUUCUUAUACCUUUAAUGUCCUUGGGACAUGGCAUCUUUUCAAUAGCAUCAACCUUAGCUUUAUCAAUUUCAAUACCUCUUUCAGAAAUUUUAUUCCCCAAGACAAUACCUUCAUUAACCAUAAAGUGGCACUUCUCCCAAUUCAAGAUGAGACUAGUAUCUUCAUAUCUCUGCAAAACUUGAUCAAGGUUGCUCAAGCAAUCAUCAAAAGAGGAUCCAUAAACGGAGAAAUCAUCCAUGAAUACCUCACAAAUCUUUUCACAAAAUUCAGAGAAUAUAGCCAUCAUGCAUCUUUGAAAGGUAGCAGGUGCAUUACAUAAACCAAAAGGCAUACGUCUAUAAGCAAAAGUACCAAAAGGGCAAGUAAAAGUGGUCUUUUCUUGAUCCUCCGCUGACACAGGUAUUUCAGAGAAACCAGAGUAACCAUCUAGAAAGCAAAAAUGUGUAUGUUUGGAUAGUCUUUCUAGCAUUUGAUCAAUAAAAGGUAAAGGAUAAUGAUCUUUUUUAGUAGCUUUAUUUAAUUUGCAGAAAUCAGUUACCAUCCUAUAAUCUGUAAUAAUUCUUUGCGGGAUCAAUUCAUCUUUAUCAUUAGGAACGACAGUAAUACCUCCCUUCUUAGGGACACAAUGGACAUGACUUACCCACUGACUAUCAGCAACGGGAUAAAUUAUACGUGCCUCAAGGAGCUUUAGUAUUUCCUUUCUUACCACUUCUUUCAUCUUAGGAUUUAAUCGUCGUUGGUGAUCAAUAACUGGUUUGGCGUCUUCUUCCAAUUUUAUUUUGUGUUGGCAUAGAGUGGGACUAAUGCCCUUAAGAUCAUCAAGAGUAUAUCCAAUAGCAGCACGGUGCUUCUUCAGGGUUUUCAAUAAUCUUUCCUCUUCCUGCUCUAAAAGGUUAGCACUAAUAAUAACAUGAUAUAUCUUCUUUUCAUCAAGAUAAGCAUAUUUAAGAGUAUCAGGUAAUGGUUUAAGCUCAAACACGGGAUCACCCUUGGGUGGUGGUGGAUCCCCUAGGAUUUCAACAGGCAAGUUGUGUUUCAAAAUAGGACCAUGUUUAAAGAAUACUUCAUCUAUUUCCCUUCUUUCAUUCAUAAACAUACCAUUUUCAUGGUCUAGCAAAUAUUGUUCUAAAGGAUCAGUAGGAGGCACGGCAAUAGAAGCAAGACCAAUAAUUUCAUCCUUACUAGGAAAUUCUUUAUCAUGGGGUUGUCUACGGAACUUAGAAAUAUUAAACUCAUGAGACAUAUCCCCCAAACCAAUAGUAACAACAUCCUUUUCGCAGUCUAUCUUAGCAUUAACAGUGUUCAAGAAGGGUCUACCAAAUAUGAUGGGACAAAAGUCAUCUUGUGGGGAACCAAGAACAAGAAAAUCAGCAGGAGAUUUAACUUCCCCACACAAGACUUCAACAUCUCUAACAACCCCAAUUGGUGAAAUAGUAUCUCUAUUGGCAAGCUUAAUUGUAACAUCAAUUUCUUCUACCUCAGCCGGUGCAAUAUCAUGCAUAAUUUCUUCAUAUAAGGAAUAAGGUAUUGCACUGGCACUAGCACCCACAUCACAUAAGCCAUGAUAACAAUGAUCUCCUAUUUUAACAUAAAUAAUAGGAAUGCCUACAACGGGUUUAUGUUUCUUAGCAUUGGGUCUAGCAAUUCUAGCAGCUUCAUCACAGAAGUAAAUAUCAUGCCCUUCAAUAUUAUCGACAAAGAGAUCUUUAACUAUAGCAAUACUAGGUUCAACUUUAAUUUGCUCAGGUGGUGUAUAUGUUCUAGUAUUACUCUUACGAACCACAGUUGAAGCUUUAGCAUGAUCCUUUAUCCUAACAGGGAAAGGUGGUUUCUCAAUAUAAGUAGAAGGAACAAUAGGAUCAUUAUAUGUGAUAGUCUUUUCUUCAACUGUAAUAGGUGCAACUACUUUUACUUGAGUGGGAGGAUUAUAUUUAAACCACUUCUCCUUAGGGAGAUCAAUAUGAGUAGCAAAUGAUUCACAGAAGGAAGCUACUAUCUCAGAGACAAGUCCAUAUUUAGUGCUAAAUCCACGAAAAGCAUCAGUAUCCAUAAAAGAUUUAACACAAUCAAACUUAGGUGUCAUACCUGACUCCUUACCAUCGUCGGAAUCCCAAUCUUCUGAGUUGCGUUUAAUUCUUUCCAAUAAAUCCCGUUUGAAUUCAAUAGUCUUCAUCAUAAAAGACCCAGCACAAGAAGUAUCAAGCAUGGAGCGAUUGUUGAGAGAAAGCCGAGCAUAAAAGUUCUGAAUAAUCAUUUCUCUUGAGAGCUCAUGAUUGGGGCAUGAAUAUAACAUUGACUUAAGCCUCCCCCAAGCUUGAGCGAUGCUUUCUCCUUCGCGAGGACAAAAAUUAUAUAUAUAAUUGCGAUCACGAUGAACAAGAUGCAUAGGAUAAAACUUCUGGUGAAAUUCCAAUUUCAAUCGUUUAUAGUCCCAGGAUCCCAUAUCAUCACAUAGCCUAUACCAUGUCAAUGCGUCUCCCUUCAAAGAUAAAGGGAAAACCUUCUUCUUAAUAACAUCAUCGGGCAUACCUGCAAGCUUAAAUAAUCCACAAAUUCAUCCACAUAGAUUAGGUGUAAAUUGGGAUGCAAUGUUCCAUCUCCUGCAAAGGGAUUAGCUAGUAGUUUCUCUACCAUACCCGAAGGAAUUUCAAAGUAAACAUCUUCAGUAGGUUCAGUAGGUUGAAGAGCAACUCUUUGCUCUACUGGUCAGGGUGAAGAUACCCCGAACAAGCCCCUCAAAGGAUUAGUUUCCAUAGUAACAAGUGACAGUAAAUUUCAGCACACUAUAUAAAUGUUUCCUUACCAAGUUCCACUUACCAAAGGCGCUUCACUCUCCGGCAACGGCGCCAGAAAGAGUCUUGAUGACCCACAAGUGUAGGGGAUCUAUCGUAGUCCUUUCGAUAAGUAAGAGUAUCGAACCCAACGAGGAGCAAAAGGAAAUGACAAGCGGUUUCAGUAAGGUAUUCUCUGCAAGCAAUGAAAUUGCAGGUAACAGAUAGUUUUGUGAUAAGAUAGUUUGUAACGGGUAACAAGCAAUGAAAGUAAAUAAGGUGCAGCAAGGUGGCCCAAUCCUUUUUUAGCAAAGGAUAAGCCUGGACAAGUUCUUAUAAUGAUAAAAGCGCUCCCGAGGACACAUGGGAAUUAUCGUCAAGCUAGUUUUCAUCACGCUCAUAUGAUUCACGUUCGUUACUUUGAUAAUUUGAUAUGUGGGUGGACCGGUGCUUGGGUACUGUCCUUUCUUGGAAAAGCAUCCCACUUAUGAUUAACCCCUAUUGCAAGCAUCCGCAACUACAAAAGAAGUAUUAAGGUAAACCUAACCAUAGCAUGAAACAAGUGGAUCCAAAUCAGCCCCUUACGAAGCAACGCAUAUACUAGGGUUUAAGCUUCUCUCACUCUAGCAACCCAUCAUCUACUUAUUACUUCCCAAUGCCUUCCUCUAGGCCCAAAUAAUGGUGAAGUGUCAUGUAGUCGACGUUCACAUAACACCACUAGAGGAGAGACAACAUACAUCUCAUCAAAAUAUUGAACGAAUACCAAAUUCAUAUGACUACUAAUAGCAGGACUUCACCCAUGUCCUCAGGAACAAACGUAACUACUCACAAAGCAUAUUCAUGUUCAUGAUCAGAGGAGUAUUAAUAUGCAUUAAGGAUCUGAACAUAUGAUCUUGCACCAAAUAAACCAACUAGCAUCAACUACAAGGAGUAAUCAACACUAAUAGCAACCCACAGGUACCAAUCUGAGGUUUUGGUACAAAGAUUGGAUACAAGAGAUGAACUAGGGUUUGAGAGGAGAUGGUGCUGGUGAAGAUGUUGAUGGAGAUUGACCCCCUCCCGAUGAGAGGAUCGUUGGUGAUGAUGAUGGUGAUGAUGAUGGUGAUGAUUUCCCCCUCCCGGAGGGAAGUUUCCCCGGUAGAACAGCUCCGCCGGAGCCCUAGAUUGGUUCCGCCAAGGUUCUGCCUCGUGGCGGCGGAGUUUCAUCCCGUAAGUUUGCUUAUGAUUUUUUCCAGGGUAAAAGACUUCAUAUAGCAGAAGAUGGGCACCGGAGGGCUGCCAGGUGGCCCACAAGGCAGGAGGGCGCGCCCCCUACCCUCGUGGAUGGUGGGUGGCCCCCCUCAGGUAUUUCUUCUGUUGAAUAUUUUUUAUUAAUUCUCAAAAUGACUUUCGUGGAGUUUCAGGACUUUUGGAGCUGUGCAGAAUAGGUCUCCAAUAUUUGCUCCUUUUCCAACCCGGAAUCCCAGCUGUCGGCAUUCUCCGUCUUCAUGUAAACCUUGUAAAAUAAGAGAGAAUAGCCAUAAGUAUUGUGGCAUAACGUGUAAUAACAACCCAUAAUGCAAUAAAUAUCGAUAUAAAAGCAUGAUGCAAAAUGGACGUAUCAAAGCGCUACAGCUAACUGGCCACAUACUUAAAAAAGAUUAACAGUAGCGCUGUUUGUGCUAGGCAGUGCUAUAGCUAACUUAGCUACAGCGUGUUUUUCCACGCCACGCUUUAACUAAGUUGCCUACACAGCAUCGCUCGAGCCACACACCCCAUCUCUUUCUCUGUCUCUCUCUCGCUCUUUAUCGAUGUAGCGACCCGACCCGAAUGGAUCAAGUCUCUGUGCUUAAGUGUCAUCCCUGGAUCGGUAUGCUGACACACACAGUACUCGAGGAUUUAUAACAGAGGUAAAUCACAUGUAUAAAAUAACGUAAAUACCAAUUACCUCAAUCCAAAUAGCGGAAGUAACAACAAGGUUGUGGAUUCCCAUCAACACCAACGGCAAAGUUGAGUGUAGAAAACGUAACCCUAACGUAUCACUUACUCAUCGUAAGAAUCCUGCAACAUGAGACGUUGCAGCCACAAAGGGUAAGUACAUUGAAUGUACUGGCAAAUUCACACCAUAGGAUAAUGACGAAUAAUAGCUAUCACUACAUGCAUAUAUGGCUGGUGGAAAAGCUCUAUGGUUAUAAUGUUUUUGCGAAAAGCCAACUUUCCCUACUGCAAAGGAAUAUAUUUUAUUUAACUACAAAGUUGGUUGAAAACAUUGAGAAGGUAAACCCCCUCUCAAUCCCAAUUAAAAGUAAUCAUUAACAACCCAACAAAUUAAUUAAGUAACGUGAUGAGAUCAACAUGAUAAUUCAAGAACCAGAUACUCAAAAUUGUCCAUAACCGGGGACACGGCUAACCAUGAUUAGUUUGUACACUCUGCAGAGGUUUGCACACUUUUCCCCACAAGACUCGAUCUCCUCCGUUAGAUUUCUGGCACUUCAUGAUGUUUGAGAAACGGAUGACCGAGACACAGUCUUUCAGAAGCGUUAGCACCUUACGAUGGGUAGACAGUUACACCUACUUCCCCUACAUCUGCUAGUCUACCACUGUAAGAGUUCACACGACUUAAUCAACUAUGCUAGAGCCCAUAAUAGCUUGUGGCUGCACACGGAAGUUUCUAGCAUGAAUAAUCUUAUGAUCCCUUUGAGCCUGGGUGGCGGUCCAUAGGAUAAUCACACGGAACCCCGGGAUUUCCAAAAAAACAGGCAAUCACUGGAUUCCCCAGGUGCCUCAAUCCACCCAGAUGUGUAUUAAAGUUGCCACCUUAAGUUGAACCAUUGAAUAACAAUCUCAAAUCUAUGAUGGAUACACUCAAACCCAAUCCACGUCUACGAGCAUAGCAUAGCAGUAUAAGCAUAAUGUAGAAGUAACUCCCAAGGGUUUGAUAGUAAUAGGACAUAGGUUCUACAUCAUCAACUACUUCCCAAUACCCACAUGUUAUCAAUUCCUAACCAUGCAAUGUUUGAGGGUGAAACUAAUGCAUAAAAACUGGGUAUGUAAGGGAUAUGAUCAAAGUGUGAACUUGCCUGUACUAUUGAUGAAGAUGAUUCGCACUCAAAACUCUUGAUAGUUCUAUGCUUCACACUCCGUUCAAUCUAUCGUGAGCAAGCAAUAGUAACCACACAUAAGCAAUCACUCAAAAGAUCGGAAAGAACAAAGAAAACAAUUCCGAAAGCAUCAAAACCAAGCAAAUAACUCUUGCAACAUAAAACAAUUUCUAACAGUACCAAAAUUAUGUGAAUUUGGCCUUAGCAGAAAGUUUAGGUCCAGAGCUUCGAUUUGCAAAAAGAAUCAACUCAAACGGAGUUAUAAAACUCGAGUUAUGAACAAGAGAAUUUCAAAUACAAAUCUGUUUGAAUUCAAAUUUUAAAACUUUCAAAAAUAUGUUUAAGUUGUUUUACUGGAUAGAGGGGAUCAAAACGAAGAAGUGGGUGUUGGUUUCGUCUAAUUCCGACAAACGAGCAAAAAGUUGUGAGGGAUAGAAAACCAGUGGCUAAACUGCUAAAUAAAAUAAUUACAACUAGGUCCCUGGCCACGAAAACAGAAACUAAAAUAUGAACGUUCACUGUUUAGGACUAAACAGCAAAUACGUUCACUAAAACUACUAACUGGAAAACGUUACUAACUAACCAGAUCUGGAAAAAAAACUGAUCUGCUUAUAUAUAUAUAUAAACCGAGAUUUUAACGAAAAACCGGGCGGUGGUUUUACCGGUUCGGGAGUUUGCGAACCGAUGAGAUCCGGCAAGAUCCCGACGGUGGCGGGGUCGACGGCGAAGCGGAGAUCGGCGGCGGCGACUGCUCCGGCGGACUCCGGCGGCGGGGUGGCGGCGGUGGCGCGUGGGAUGGAGGCGCGGCGAGGCAGCGGCGCAGAACCGCGGCGGCGACGACAGCGAGAUGUGGCGGCGGCGGCGUCGAUCUGCGGCGGCGCGGGGAGGAGAGGAAACGGGGUCGGGGCGGCGCCCUUUAUAGGAGGGAGGGGAGGAGGUAGCCUUGGAGGAGAGGUAAGGCGGCGGAGGACUCCGGGCGGCGCACGGACGUCGAGGCGGCGUCGGUUACGCUCGGGACUCCGUCCCGAGCUUGAGGGCGAAGCGCGGCUGGGCUGGGCCUGGCUGGCUAGCUGGGCCGGCCAAGUCGGCGGGAGAAAAGAAGUUUUUUUAAAUAAACAUUUUCCAGAAAACAAAAGAAAAUAGAAUAAACCACCAAAAUAGAAAUAUACUAUAGGCAUAUAAAAAGAUUUUCUACAACCUGAACAUUUUUGUAAGAUCUAAUAAAAUACACACAAAUUUAAAUAAAACAAAGAAUGCCACUGGUGCAAUAAAAUCCAAACAAAAAUCAUUUUAAAAAUACCAAGAUGAUUUCAAAUUUAAAUAUCUCCAAUUUUCUAUUGUAGGGAAUCAUGUUACCCUAUUUUCCAUAUAUUUUAUUUGUGGAGAAAAAUAAUUUGAAGAAAAUACAAAUAACUCCAAAUUGAAAAUAAUUUCCAAGAGGACUUUAAAUUUGAUCCUUUUAAACUCCCAACUCAUAUUUCAUAUAAUUUGAAGAAGUCAUUUUAUCUUCUCGCAUGAAAAUCAUUGAGUUGCUUAAAGUUUUCUGAAUUUGAAAUAUUUUCAAAUGAAAUUCAAAUAUUUUCAACAACCCUUUUCAUUUAAAUAAAUGGAAGAAGUCAUGUCAUCUUCUCUCUAGGGUUUUGUGAUGAAAUGAAUUUGAAUUCACGGAGAUCAUAAAUGCAAAAAUGAAAGUUUGGGAAAGUCCUUUUAUUCCCUCUCAUUUAACUUUCAAAAAGUUUCGAAUUUCACUCAACUACGCACAAUCAAUCAAACAAUCAAUCAAAACUAUCUAUUUAAUAUAACAUUCCAAAAUUUAGAAUUUUGGGAUGUUACAAACCUACCACCCUUAAAAUGAAUCUCGUCCUCGAGAUUCGGAGAGGCUAGAAAGAAAUAGGUUAGGUUUGGGGGUCAUAUUUAUUGUAAUAAGUGUGUGAUUGCUACUCUGUUAUAAAUCCUUCGAGUAAUGUGCGUGUCAGCAUUACUGAUCCAGGGAUGACACUGAUGCACAGAGACAAUCGAUCCCCUUUCUCUGAGCUCCCACACCACCGCCGGCACCGCACCCGCCCACGCCGCUGUUGGCAGGCGUCGCACCCGACCCCGACGCCGACCACUGGUCGCCCCUACACUCCCUUCCAUGACCCGCACCCCCUGUGCCGCCCCUCCCCCUAUGCCGCCCCUCCCCCGAGCAGUCCCCUACACCGGCCCACGCCCCUCCCCCAAGCAGUCCCCUCCACUGGUCGACGCCCCUCCCCCGAUUAGUCUCAGUCUCUCUCUCUCUCUCUAUAUAUAUAUAUAUACAUACAUAUAUAUAUAUGUCUCUCUCUCUGACCAAAUUUGGUCUCUCUGCCGAUCGAAGCUAGGCGCAGAUCAACGAGGAGGAGAAGGACGCCCUCAACCCUAACCCCGAGCCCAACCCCGAGGUGCUCCACCCCCUCUUCCCUCGCUCUUCAUAAUAUUCGGCAAUGCUUGUUAGAGUGCUUAUUAAAAUGCUUGUUAGAGUGUUGUUAGAGUGUUCAUAAUGUGGUUGUUAGAGUGUUAGAGUGUUCAUAUUUGGAGUUAAAAUAAAAUGAAAUGAAAUGCUGUCCAUUUGGAGUUUCUUUUAAAAUGAAAUGUCGGACUUUGUUUGUUACAUAGUAGUAGUGUAAAUUAUAAAAUUUCGGUGAUCUUGGUGGCUGCAUUGCUCAUUCUGCUAGUGUUGGCAGAUGGUAGUGAAAUGCUACUUCAGCACACACUACAAAAAAAAAGACAAAUCCAUGACAUUUUGGGCCGAACGUAAUUUUUUCUGUCAUGCUUCUGACACUUCUAUGACGAUAAUUGUGACAAAACCCGGUAUCAUCAUAGAUGUGGUGGGCUCCUACUUCUAUGACAAAAAAUCAUGACAGAAAAUGGGUUUUUCGUCCUGGGCGGGCCGGAGACGCAGCUGCAUGACAUUCUUUAGGCCGUCCAUGACGGAAAAAACAAUGGUAGCACUACAAGAAAUAUGUCAACUUGUGACCUUGACUAUUGGUCACUGACAGGUCAUUGUUUUUCAUUUGCGACCUUUUUGUGACAAAAAACAGAAGGUCAAAAGCUGGCAGUCGUAAACUGAAAUUAACGACCUUCUCUGUGAGAAGGUCGUAGACGUUUACGACCAAAACAGAAGGUCGUUGAACCCAUGACCUUUUGUUUUGGUCACUGGCUGUCUGCCCAGGCCACGUUGGAUCCGACAUGGCAAUCUGACGUGGCAAAACUACGACCAAUUGAAAAGGUCACUGACAAGAAUCAGCCCGGUCCAAUUGAGUGUUUUACAUGGGCCUAGCCCAUUAAUUCAGCCCUUUUUCCGGUCAAUUUACGCUAGCUACAUGGGCCAAGCCCAGCAAUUCGGCCUUUUUGGUUUCUAAGACACAGAACUUUACAGUCCAUUUCUUUUUGGGCCUCGGCCUUUUAAAAGUUGACUUCUUUUUUGGGCCUCAGCCUUUUUGCAUGCUAUUCACGUUUUGGGCCUUGGCCUCUACCAAUAAGUAGGUCCAACUCAUUAACUUUCUAUUUCUCACAUUUUCACAGUACACAAAUGACAAAUAUUUCAAAUGAAACAGAACUAUAUACUUGAAAUGAUAGCCAAAAUUAGCCUAUUACAAUCUUUACAUAGUGUUCAUACAACCAGACCAGUACAGAAUACAAUGUAACUAGCUAUGAAGUACAACCAGAACACAAGGCAUAUUGAUAGAUAACCACCACGCUUCAUCGUCUUCCUCUUCCAAAUUCCAAGAAACAAAUCACCUAGCAUUAGAAGGAUCACGCA